CCUCAGCAGCGAGAUACUCGAGCACAGCGGCCAGAUACACAGGGGCUCCAGCUCCGACACGCUCGGCGUACUUGCCAGCUUUCAAGAACCGAGCAAUACGACCAACGGGAAACUGCAGACCGGCCUUGCUGCUCCUCGAUGCGCUCUUCUUGGCCGCCGCAGAACCCAACGAUUUCCCCCUUCCGGCCAUCUUCAACGGAGAUAGAGAAAAAGACGGUGGAACUUUCGAGAGAAUUCUGAAAGAAUUUGAGAAGGGACGAAGUGCCUUGUCACUGCGUUGAACAGUUGUUUUCUGAGACACGAGACCG
RNAcentral lists this unclassified non-coding RNA (308 nucleotides) under Hevea brasiliensis (rubber tree). The record is from RNAcentral. Lineage: Eukaryota; Viridiplantae; Streptophyta; Magnoliopsida; Malpighiales; Euphorbiaceae.